This 73-nucleotide transfer RNA is filed under the name Lachnospiraceae bacterium. RNAcentral describes it as "tRNA-Gly". It matches the Rfam family "tRNA". From Rfam's summary of the family: Transfer RNA (tRNA) molecules are approximately 80 nucleotides in length. Their secondary structure includes four short double-helical elements and three loops (D, anti-codon, and T loops). Further hydrogen bonds mediate the characteristic L-shaped molecular structure. tRNAs have two regions of fundamental functional importance: the anti-codon, which is responsible for specific mRNA codon recognition, and the 3' end, to which the tRNAs corresponding amino acid is attached (by aminoacyl-tRNA synthetases). tRNAs cope with the degeneracy of the genetic code in two manners: having more than one tRNA (with a specific anti-codon) for a particular amino acid; and 'wobble' base-pairing, i.e. permitting non-standard base-pairing at the 3rd anti-codon position. Lineage: Bacteria; Bacillati; Bacillota; Clostridia; Lachnospirales; Lachnospiraceae. RNAcentral also lists the same sequence under 6 other names. The record is from RNAcentral.
GCGACAGUGGCUCAGUUGGUGGAGUACGACCUUGCCAAGGUCGGGGUCGCGGGUUCGAGUCCCGUCUGUCGCU